This is a long non-coding RNA of Chenopodium quinoa (quinoa), 391 nucleotides long. RefSeq lists it as uncharacterized. Lineage: Eukaryota; Viridiplantae; Streptophyta; Magnoliopsida; Caryophyllales; Amaranthaceae. The record is from RefSeq and is a predicted model, not a curated record. The transcript has 3 exons.
GGUGGUGGUGGCUGAUUGCUCGACUCUUGCAUGUCACAAAUUUCCUCGGAUCUUUUAAGAUGAAGGGGAAUAAAACAAAAGUUUCUGCUUCCCAAAGUCAGGUUACAGAUUAUGAGUUACAAAGGCUUCAAAGAUUAAAGUUCAUUGCAGAAAGAAUAAUGUCAGCCCAAGGAUCGGGAUCCUUAGCGAAUAAGAUACUUCAACAAAAAACAAAAGACCUACUUUCUCCAAGUGCAAGGUAGACAGAAGAUGAAUCCACGUCAGAGUAUGAUGGUGAGGAGGAGGGUGAAACUAUGGAAGAUGACAGUCUUGCGUCUGGAAAAAGAAAGGUCUCAAAGAAACUACAUUUAAUUCGCACACGUAAAACGGCUAUUGUGGAGAUGAAUAGCCA